CAGUAGCCGCGGUAAUACGUAGGGCGCAAGCGUUAUCCGGAAUUAUUGGGCGUAAAGAGCUCGUAGGCGGUUUGUCGCGUCUGCCGUGAAAGUCCGGGGCUCAACCCCGGAUCUGCGGUGGGUACGGGCAGACUAGAGUGAUGUAGGGGAGACUGGAAUUCCUGGUGUAGCGGUGAAAUGCGCAGAUAUCAGGAGGAACACCGAUGGCGAAGGCAGGUCUCUGGGCAUUAACUGACGCUGAGGAGCGAAAGCAUGGGGAGCGAACAGGAUUAGAUACCCGGGUAGUCCCUGUCUCUUAUAC
This 301-nucleotide ribosomal RNA is filed under the name uncultured bacterium. RNAcentral describes it as "partial 16S ribosomal RNA". It matches the Rfam family "Bacterial small subunit ribosomal RNA", at positions 509 to 807 of the family's 1533-position model. The record is from RNAcentral.